CCUAGUGACCGAUAGUGAACCAGUACCGUGAGGGAAAGGUGAAAAGCACCCCGGAAGGGGAGUGAAACAGUUCCUGAAACCGUGUGCCUACAAGUAGUUAGAGCCCGUUAAUGGGUGAUAGCGUGCCUUUUGUAGAAUGAACCGGCGAGUUACGAUUUGUUGCAAGGUUAAGCGGAAAAAGCGGAGCCGUAGCGAAAGCGAGUCUGAAUAGGGCGCAUAAGUAACAGGUCGUAGACCCGAAACCAGGUGAUCUACCCAUGUCCAGGAUGAAGGUAAGGUAAUACUUACUGGAGGUCCGAACCCACGCACGUUGAAAAGUGCGGGGAUGAGGUGUGGGUAGCGGAGAAAUUCCAAUCGAACUUGGAGAUAGCUGGUUCUCUCCGAAAUAGCUUUAGGGCUAGCCUCGAGGUAAAGAGUCAUGGAGGUAGAGCACUGUUUGGACUAGGGGCCCUUCUCGGGUUACCGAAUUCAGAUAAACUCCGAAUGCCAUGUACUUAUACUCGGGAGUCAGACUGCGAGUGAUAAGAUCCGUAGUCGAAAGGGAAACAGCCCAGACCACCAGUUAAGGUCCCCAAAUAUAUGUUAAGUGGAAAAGGAUGUGGGGUUGCUUAGACAACCAGGAUGUUGGCUUAGAAGCAGCCACCAUUGAAAGAGUGCGUAAUAGCUCACUGGUCGAGUGACCCCGCGCCGAAAAUGUACCGGGGCUAAACAUAUUACCGAAACUGUGGAUGAACCUCUUUAGAGGUUCGUGGUAGGAGAGCGUUCUAAGGGCGGUGAAGUCAGACCGGAAGGACUGGUGGAGCGCUUAGAAGUGAGAAUGCCGGUAUGAGUAGCGAAAGAAGGGUGAGAAUCCCUUCCACCGAAUAUCUAAGGUUUCCUGAGGAAGGCUCGUCCGCUCAGGGUUAGUCGGGACCUAAGCCGAGGCCGAUAGGCGUAGGCGAUGGACAACAGGUAGAGAUUCCUGUACCAGUGCUAAUUGUUUAACCGAUGGGGUGACACAGAAGGAUAGGGAAUCGCACGAAUGGAAAUGUGCGUCCAAGCAGUGAGUGUGAGAAGUAGGCAAAUCCGCUUCUCGCGAAGCAUGAGCUGUGAUGGGGAAGGAAAUUAAGUACGGAAGUUCCUGAUUUCACGCUGUCAAGAAAAGCCUCUAGGAAGAGUAGUACUGCCCGUACCGCAAACCGACACAGGUAGAUGAGGAGAGAAUCCUAAGGUGAGCGAGAGAACUCUCGUUAAGGAACUCGGCAAAAUGACCCCGUAACUUCGGGAGAAGGGGUGCUCUAUUAGGGUGCAAGCCCGAGAGAGCCGCAGUGAAUAGGCCCAGGCGACUGUUUAGCAAAAACACAGGUCUCUGCAAAACCGUAAGGUGACGUAUAGGGGCUGACGCCUGCCCGGUGCUGGAAGGUUAAGAGGAGUGCUUAGCUUCGGCGAAGGUACGAAUUGAAGCCCCAGUAAACGGCGGCCGUAACUAUAACGGUCCUAAGGUAGCGAAAUUCCUUGUCGGGUAAGUUCCGACCCGCACGAAAGGCGCAACGAUCUGGGCACUGUCUCAACGAGAGACUCGGUGAAAUUAUAGUACCUGUGAAGAUGCAGGUUACCCGCGACAGGACGGAAAGACCCCGUGGAGCUUUACUGCAACCUGAUAUGGAAUGUUUGUACCGCUUGUACAGGAUAGGUAGGAGCCGAAGAGACGUGUGCGCUAGCAUACGAGGAGGCAAUGGUGGGAUACUACCCUGGCUGUAUGACCAUUCUAACCCGCCACGCUUAGCGCGUGGGGAGACAGUGUCAGGUGGGCAGUUUGACUGGGGCGGUCGCCUCCUAAAGAGUAACGGAGGCGCCCAAAGGUUCCCUCAGAAUGGAUGGAAAUCAUUCGCAGAGUGUAAAGGCACAAGGGAGCUUGACUGCGAGACUGACAAGUCGAGCAGGGACGAAAGUCGGGCUUAGUGAUCCGGUGGUUCCGCAUGGAAGGGCCAUCGCUCAACGGAUAAAAGCUACCCCGGGGAUAACAGGCUUAUCUCCCCCAAGAGUCCACAUCGACGGGGAGGUUUGGCACCUCGAUGUCGGCUCGUCGCAUCCUGGGGCUGUAGUCGGUCCCAAGGGUUGGGCUGUUCGCCCAUUAAAGCGGCACGCGAGCUGGGUUCAGAACGUCGUGAGACAGUUCGGUCCCUAUCCGUCGCGGGCGCAGGAAAUUUGAGAGGAGCUGUCCUUAGUACGAGAGGACCGGGAUGGACACACCGCUGGUGUACCAGUUGUUCCGCCAGGAGCAUCGCUGGGUAGCUAUGUGUGGCAGGGAUAAACGCUGAAAGCAUCUAAGCGUGAAGCCCCCCUCAAGAUGAGAUUUCCCAUUUCUUCGGAAAGUAAGAUCCCUGAAAGAUGAUCAGGUAGAUAGGUUUGGAGUGGAAGUGUAGCGAUACAUGGAGCGGACAAAUACUAAUCGAUCGAGGACUUAACCAAAA
This 2453-nucleotide ribosomal RNA is filed under the name Listeria monocytogenes. Its description in RNAcentral is "partial 23S ribosomal RNA". It matches the Rfam family "Bacterial large subunit ribosomal RNA", at positions 476 to 2925 of the family's 2925-position model. The record is from RNAcentral. Lineage: Bacteria; Bacillati; Bacillota; Bacilli; Caryophanales; Listeriaceae.